RNAcentral lists this long non-coding RNA (114 nucleotides) under Fukomys damarensis (Damara mole-rat). Its description in RNAcentral is "lncRNA (ENSFDAG00000026919.1)". The record is from RNAcentral. Lineage: Eukaryota; Metazoa; Chordata; Mammalia; Rodentia; Bathyergidae.
AAGUUCAUUGUGGUCCAACAUCCUGAUCUUCUUGAGAGCUGGCACGUGUGACUCCGCAGGGUGCAUUCUUCAAACCUUCAUUUCAAGCAGCUUCACAGCAGCUUCUUGUUCUAC